This 447-nucleotide ribosomal RNA is filed under the name uncultured bacterium. RNAcentral describes it as "bacterial SSU rRNA". It matches the Rfam family "Bacterial small subunit ribosomal RNA", at positions 329 to 792 of the family's 1533-position model. The record is from RNAcentral.
UUCCAGACUCCUACGGGAGGCAGCAGUGGGGAAUAUUGCACAAUGGGGGAAACCCUGAUGCAGCGACGCCGCGUGAGUGAAGAAGUAUUUCGGUAUGUAAAGCUCUAUCAGCAGGGAAGAUAAUGACGGUACCUGACUAAGAAGCCCCGGCUAACUACGUGCCAGCAGCCGCGGUAAUACGUAGGGGGCAAGCGUUAUCCGGAUUUACUGGGUGUAAAGGGUGCGUAGGUGGCAUGGCAAGUCAGAAGUGAAAGCCCGGGGCUCAACCCCGCGGACUGCUUUUGAAACUGUCAGGCUGGAGUACAGGAGAGGUAAGCGGAAUUCCUAGUGUAGCGGUGAAAUGCGUAGAUAUUAGGAGGAACACCAGUGGCGAAGGCGGCUUACUGGACUGUAACUGACACUGAGGCACGAAAGCGUGGGGAGCAAACAGGAUUAGAUACCCGCGUA